UACGGAGGGUGCAAGCGUUAUCCGGAUUUACUGGGCUUAAAGGGUGCGUAGGCGGGCAGGUAAGUCUGAGGUGAAAUCUCCGAGCUUAACUCGGAAACUGCCUUUGAUACUAUUUGUCUUGAAUAUUGUGGAGGUAAGCGGAAUAUGUCAUGUAGCGGUGAAAUGCUUAGAUAUGACAUAGAACACCUAUUGCGAAGGCAGCUUACUGCGCAUAUAUUGACGCUGAGGCACGAAAGCGUGGGGAGCAAACAGG
RNAcentral lists this ribosomal RNA (253 nucleotides) under uncultured bacterium. RNAcentral's name for it is "partial 16S ribosomal RNA". It matches the Rfam family "Bacterial small subunit ribosomal RNA", at positions 524 to 776 of the family's 1533-position model. The record is from RNAcentral.